GGCAGCAGCCGCGGGAACACCGGCGGCCCGAGUGGUGAUCGUGAUUAUUGGGUCUAAAGGGUCCGUAGCCGGUUUGGUCAGUCCUCCGGGAAAUCUGAUAGCUCAACUAUUAGGCUUUCGGGGGAUACUGCCAGACUUGGAACCGGGAGAGGUAAGAGGUACUACAGGGGUAGGAGUGAAAUCUUGUAAUCCCUGUGGGACCACCUGUGGCGAAGGCGUCUUACCAGAGCGGGUUCGACGGUGAGGGACGAAAGCUGGGGGCACGAACCGGAUUAGAUACCCGGGUAGUCCCAGCCGUAAACGAUGCUCGCUAGGUGUCAGGCAUGGCGCGACCGUGUCUGGUGCCGCAGGGAAGCCGUGAAGCGAGCCACCUGGGAAGUACGGCCGCAAGGCUGAAACUUAAAGGAAUUGGCGGGGGAGCACAACAACGGGUGGAGCCCUGCGGUUUAAUUGGACUCAACGCCGGACAACUCACCGGGGGCGACAGCAAUAUGUAGGCCAAGCUGAAGACUUUGCCUGAAUCGCUGAGGAGUGGUGCAUGG
This 542-nucleotide ribosomal RNA is filed under the name uncultured archaeon. RNAcentral describes it as "bacterial SSU rRNA". It matches the Rfam family "Archaeal small subunit ribosomal RNA", at positions 457 to 997 of the family's 1478-position model. The record is from RNAcentral.